GCACUUCUGACGAGUCCCAAACAGUACGAAACAGUUGUCCAGUGC
Non-coding RNA from Echinostoma caproni, 45 nucleotides. NCBI's taxonomy places the organism in Eukaryota, Metazoa, Platyhelminthes, Trematoda, Plagiorchiida, Echinostomatidae. The record is from Rfam.